Daucus carota subsp. sativus is the source of this 1221-nucleotide long non-coding RNA. RefSeq lists it as uncharacterized. The transcript has 3 exons. NCBI's taxonomy places the organism in Eukaryota, Viridiplantae, Streptophyta, Magnoliopsida, Apiales, Apiaceae. The record is from RefSeq and is a predicted model, not a curated record.
UCCUUUUACAAGUAUUCUUUCCUUCUAUUUAUAGGUUCUUCGCCCGGACUUUGUCUUGGGCUUUUCUCUUCAUGAGCUGAGGCCCAACAUUUAGUCCUCGCCUCGUUUAAGCUGAUAUUUAGAUGGGCCUAAGUUUUUGGACGAAACUGGAACUCGUUUUUUAUUUUAUUUGGUCUGAGUGUUCCCUCUUUUUAUCAAAUAGUUUUUUACCGUUGAGCUUUCAUGGGAAUCGGCACCUGUUUGGUAUUGCUUGUGGCGAUCAACCUUCUACAGCUUUGAAAUUCUCAAGCACUCCUCCAUUUCUUGAUAUGCUUCAUCAGAGAUGCCAGUUGCAAUUUUCUAGAACUGAGGAAGUUGUUCCGGUCGAAGCCUUCUUUCAAUCAUCAGAGUAGCAUCGGUGCUGAUUCUCCUGAGUUGGCUGACUUGGAAGAGUAUUGUGAGUUGGGUAAGGUUUAUACCCAUCAUCUUCCUUGCGGGGACGAUCGGCUUGUUGAACUAGUUUACGAUGGAGUUUGACCGAUUGGUGGUCUUGGGCGUGCGAGGCAACUUGGAGGCUGAGCUCGUUCGUGUUCGAGCCAAUGUGUUAGAGGCGCAGAAUCAUAAGGUCGAUGCUGAAAAGCGGAUUGUCUCGCUUGCCCAAAAAACCGUGAUGCUGACAAGGAAGCCUUGAAUUCCUUGGUGACUUCGUACCAGAAUAUCGAGUCUAAGCUUUUCGCAGAGAUGAAACAGAUGUGGAUUGAUUGAGGUUCCGUGGUUGUUGAGCUUGGGAGGAAUAAGAUCUAGUUGGAGAAAAAGCUUGUAGAUGCUUAAAGUGCGUUGUCGAAGAGCAACAAGAAGGCCUUUGGCGCGCUCGUGAACGGUGACAAUCUUUGUUGGGAACGCGCUGUUCGGGCUGGCUAUGACAUGGAGCCCCAUACUUUUGUCCAUCAUUUUGAAGAGGUGGCCCGUGCUCGCGAUGGAGGUGCAAAUCUGAUGGCCGGGAAGGAUCCGUUACUUGAUGGUUGAUGAUUGUUUGCUACUUUUCUCCAAGUAUUUGGGGUAUGCCCCGGAUGAAUGAUGUAAAAUUUUUACUUUCGGUCUCUGAACUUGGUAAUAGCUGUUGGUUCUUGACUUUUGUAUCGUGUCCAGAGGCACGCUUAUGUUGCUAUUCCCUGCAGGAAAAUUUGGUAAUGUAGUCUAACUGUGCCUGUGCACCUUUGUUUCUGAAGAACUGUGUUAUAA